This 136-nucleotide small nuclear RNA is filed under the name Canis lupus dingo (dingo). RNAcentral describes it as "U4 spliceosomal RNA (ENSCAFG00020017870.1)". It matches the Rfam family "U4 spliceosomal RNA". From Rfam's summary of the family: U4 small nuclear RNA (U4 snRNA) is a component of the major U2-dependent spliceosome. The structure of U4 snRNA from yeast and human has been reported. U4 snRNA presents a k-turn RNA motif in the 5p-SL related to recognition of Snu13 protein. Lineage: Eukaryota; Metazoa; Chordata; Mammalia; Carnivora; Canidae. The record is from RNAcentral.
AGCUUUGUGCAGUGGCAGUAUCGUAGCCAAUGAGGUUUAUCCGAGACGCGAUUAUUGCUAAUUGAAAACAGCAACCUAGCUGUCCGCUGCCUGUCUGUGGUCCGGGGACGGGUGGGGCUGUGCCACAGCUCGGGCA